UACGUAGGGUGCAAGCGUUGUCCGGAAUUAUUGGGCGUAAAGAGCUCGUAGGCGGUCUGUCGCGUCGGAUGUGAAAACCCGGGGCUCAACCCCGGGCCUGCAUUCGAUACGGGCAGACUAGAGUUCGGUAGGGGAGACUGGAAUUCCUGGUGUAGCGGUGAAAUGCGCAGAUAUCAGGAGGAACACCGGUGGCGAAGGCGGGACGCUGGGCCGAGACUGACGCUGAGGAGCGAAAGCAUGGGGAGCGAACAGG
Molecule: ribosomal RNA, 253 nt
Filed under: uncultured bacterium
Lineage: Bacteria
Description: partial 16S ribosomal RNA
Rfam family: Bacterial small subunit ribosomal RNA
Source: RNAcentral